RNAcentral lists this transfer RNA (89 nucleotides) under Candidatus Uzinura diaspidicola str. ASNER. Its description in RNAcentral is "tRNA-Ser (TGA) (tRNA-Ser-TGA-1-1)". It matches the Rfam family "tRNA". Rfam says of the family: Transfer RNA (tRNA) molecules are approximately 80 nucleotides in length. Their secondary structure includes four short double-helical elements and three loops (D, anti-codon, and T loops). The record is from Rfam by way of RNAcentral. Lineage: Bacteria; Pseudomonadati; Bacteroidota; Flavobacteriia; Flavobacteriales.
GGAGAGAUGGCAGAGUUUGGAUUAACGCGGUGGUCUUGAAAACCAAUGAAGGAGAAAUUCUUCCGGGGGUUCGAAUCCCUCUCUCUCCG